UACAGAGGUCUCGAGCGUUAGGCGGAAUCACUGGGCUUAAAGCGUGUGUAGGCGGAUUGCUAAGUACCUUGUGAAAUCCCACGGCUUAACCGUGGAACUGCUUGGUAUACUGGCUGUCUUGAGCCACUUAGGGGCAACCGGAACAAACGGUGGAGCGGUGAAAUGCGUAGAUAUCGUUUGAAACGCCAAUGGUGAAAACAGGUUGCUGGGAGUGUGCUGACGCUGAGACACGAAAGCCAGGGGAGCAAACGGG
This 253-nucleotide ribosomal RNA is filed under the name uncultured bacterium. RNAcentral's name for it is "partial 16S ribosomal RNA". It matches the Rfam family "Bacterial small subunit ribosomal RNA", at positions 524 to 776 of the family's 1533-position model. The record is from RNAcentral.